This 72-nucleotide transfer RNA is filed under the name marine sediment metagenome. It matches the Rfam family "tRNA". Rfam says of the family: Transfer RNA (tRNA) molecules are approximately 80 nucleotides in length. The record is from RNAcentral.
GGGCCGGUAGAUCAAUGGAAGAUCGCCGCCUUGGCAUGGCGGAGGCUGCGGGUUCGAGUCCCGCCCGGUCCA